Molecule: ribosomal RNA, 428 nt
Filed under: uncultured bacterium
Lineage: Bacteria
Description: bacterial SSU rRNA
Rfam family: Bacterial small subunit ribosomal RNA
Source: RNAcentral
UGGGGAAUCUUCCGCAAUGGACGAAAGUCUGACGGAGCAACGCCGCGUGAGUGAAGAAGGUUUUCGGAUCGUAAAGCUCUGUUUUCAGGGACGAACGGCAGAAAUAUGAAUAAUAUAUCUGCAUGACGGUACCUGAGGAGGAAGCCACGGCUAACUACGUGCCAGCAGCCGCGGUAAUACGUAGGUGGCAAGCGUUGUCCGGAAUUAUUGGGCGUAAAGGGCGUGUAGGCGGGAUAAUAAGUCUGUUGUAAAAGUGCGGGGCUCAACCCCGUAAGGUCAAUGGAAACUGUUAUUCUUGAGUGCAGGAGAGGAAAGUGGAAUUCCCAGUGUAGCGGUGAAAUGCGUAGAUAUUGGGAGGAACACCAGUGGCGAAGGCGACUUUCUGGACUGUGUCUGACGCUGAGGCGCGAAAACCAGGGGAGCGAACG